UCCGUAGGCGGAUUAAUAAGUCAGAGGUGAAAUCCCACAGCUUAACUGUGGAACUGCCUUUGAUACUGUUAGUCUUGAGUUAUAUGGAAGUAGAUAGAAUGUGUAGUGUAGCGGUGAAAUGCAUAGAUAUUACACAGAAUACCGAUUGCGAAGGCAGUCUACUACGUAUAUACUGACGCUAAUGGACGAAAGCGUGGGGAGCGAACAGGAUUAGAUACCCUGGUAGUC
Molecule: ribosomal RNA, 228 nt
Filed under: uncultured bacterium
Lineage: Bacteria
Description: partial 16S ribosomal RNA
Rfam family: Bacterial small subunit ribosomal RNA
Source: RNAcentral